CCAAGCUGCUCCACUACAUCUGGCUCCCCUCGGCAUCCUGAUUCUUCAUCUGCCAACUGUUUUUACAUUUUUUUUCUUUCAUGUUAUACAUAUAGAUCUUUUGUUGUUUUUGUUUUCUGUGCUUACAACAUACAUUGCAUGUCUGGCCGUCCUGGAUAAAAUUGAAUUGAAGACGGCAUUUAACAAGGUUUACUUUUCUUCUUUUAGACCUCCCGUGUGAGGCGCUCGCCAAGAGGUGUUGCCACAAGGCGCAGAGGAGGAAAGCGGCAGGUGCUGGCAACACCUUCACCUGCCCGUGUGACCGUGUCCGCCUCCGGGCCCAGACCAGCGGUGCAGCAGGUGGAGGCGACAGUCCAGGAGUCGGCCAGCGUGGUGCCAGGGGUGGUCGUCGGUCGGGAGGAGGUCGCUGCAGCGUUCCCCGC
Long non-coding RNA from Myripristis murdjan (pinecone soldierfish), 422 nucleotides. RefSeq lists it as uncharacterized. The record is from RefSeq and is a predicted model, not a curated record. The transcript has 3 exons. Lineage: Eukaryota; Metazoa; Chordata; Actinopteri; Holocentriformes; Holocentridae.